AUGGUUAUGGUAACAUCUCUGUCAGUCCUCUCAUCAUCAGAUGGUUAUGGUAACAUCUCUGUUCAGUCCUCUCAUCAUCAGAUGGUUAUGGUAACAUCUCUGUCAGUGGUAACAUCUCUGUCAGUCCUCUCAUCAUCAGAUGGUUAUGGUAACAUCUCUGUCAGUCCUCUCAUCAUCAGAUGGUUACGGUAACAUCUCUGUCAGUCCUCUCAUCAUCAGAUGGUUAUGGUAACAUCUCUGUCAGUCCUCUCAUCAUCAGAUGGUUAUGGUAACAUCUCUGUCAGUCCUCUCAUCAUCAGAUGGUUACGGUAACAUCUCUGUCAGUCCUCUCAUCAUCAGAUGGUUAUGGUAACAUCUCUGUUCAGUCCUCUCAUCAUCAGAUGGCUAUGGUAACAUCUCUGUCAGUCCUCUCAUCAUCAAAUGGUUACGGUAACAUCUCUGUCAGUCCUCUCAUCAUCAGAUGGUUAUGGUAACAUCUCUGUCAGUCCUCUCAUCAUCAGAUGGUUAUGGUAACAUCUCUGUUCAGUCCUCUCAUCAUCAGAUGGUUAUGGUAACAUCUCUGUUCAGUCCUCUCAUCAGCAGAUGGUUACGGUAACUCCAUGACUUCACGGUUCAUAAACACAAUCAACUCUUUAGACAGUUAUGCUUUUUCAAUCACGUGACAAAUCUCAUCGCUGAGCUAAAAAGGUUCCACUGACCUAAGACACCUUUUCUUAGCCCAAUAAACAUCUGGUAGAUCGGAUGGAGUUGAACCAUAGGCUGCUAAUGUUAUACACAGCCUAUGAAAGGAAGGAAGGAGCCUGCGAACAGCUAUUUUCAGUCGUCUUACUGGAAGUUUAGUUAGUCAUAGUUGUUAAUAAACAGGACUUCAAAGAGAGAACAAAUGUUUUCCAUGAACAUUCCAAACCCAUUGAGAAACAAGAUGGAGAAAUUCUGGACAGAAAGCAUGGAUGGACCCAAUGAACAUAAACAGGUUGAAUCCACAUUAUUUCCACGUAUAAAUAUAUAUUUAAAAAAAAAUCUAUCUGGUGACAAUGCAAAAAGUCAUCAAU
RNAcentral lists this long non-coding RNA (1052 nucleotides) under Oncorhynchus mykiss (rainbow trout). RNAcentral's name for it is "lncRNA (ENSOMYG00000071980.1)". The record is from RNAcentral. Lineage: Eukaryota; Metazoa; Chordata; Actinopteri; Salmoniformes; Salmonidae.